UACGGAGGGGGCUAGCGUUGUUCGGAAUUACUGGGCGUAAAGCGCACGUAGGCGGACCAGAAAGUUGGGGGUGAAAUCCCGGGGCUCAACCUCGGAAUGGCCUUCAAAACUCCUGGUCUUGAGUUCGAGAGAGGUGAGUGGAAUUCCGAGUGUAGAGGUGAAAUUCGUAGAUAUUCGGAGGAACACCAGUGGCGAAGGCGGCUCACUGGCUCGACACUGACGCUGAGGUGCGAAAGCGUGGGGAGCAAACAGG
Molecule: ribosomal RNA, 253 nt
Filed under: uncultured bacterium
Lineage: Bacteria
Description: partial 16S ribosomal RNA
Rfam family: Bacterial small subunit ribosomal RNA
Source: RNAcentral